CUUUUUCGAUUCAACUCAGCAUGUCGAGUCGCGCGCGAUUUGUGUCGGCAACCUUUUCGUUCAAUUGCUGUUGACGUUUUGAUUUCUGCGUUCAUUGAAUUUCAAUAUCUGUCAGUGGUGAUGCAAAACAGUGUUUACAAUAUUGGCGCAUCUGUUUCUAUGAACGAACGAGAUGAAAUGCCAUCAAUAUGCAAGUUCUCUUGAUAUACCGUCCGGGAAGAGUGCUGAAUUGGUCAAGGAUGCGUAUAAUAUUGGAGAUUGAGCAAGAAGCACAGAAUCCGCUGGAUGUGUUUUUUCCAAGUUAACAGCAAUUGUUGCUGUCUGUUGUUAUCAGCGAGCCGAAAUAAGUAUGUUAGAUAGCCUAAGAUUAGAUAAUUCUGGACAUGAUUUCCCGGGAAACCGUUAUCAUCCCUGAUUCUCGAUUGUACCAUGUGCGAAGGUGCGGUCUGCGAAUAUGUGACCCCUGGGAGAAUUUUUCAUAUUUAGCGUUAGUGUAUACAUAAAUCAUUCUUUAGAAGAAUUGUUGAAAAUUUUUCUGUUUUCUUUAUAUAAUUCUUUUCGGCUGUAUUCUUAUUUCAAUGAUUUUUUUAUGUUUGUAAAUAUUGUUUGCUGGUUUGUGGUAUUACUCCAACGAAAAAUAAAUAUAUACAUCCAUUUUUUAGAAA
Long non-coding RNA from Toxorhynchites rutilus septentrionalis, 665 nucleotides. RefSeq lists it as uncharacterized. Lineage: Eukaryota; Metazoa; Arthropoda; Insecta; Diptera; Culicidae. The transcript is spliced from 3 exons. The record is from RefSeq and is a predicted model, not a curated record.